AUUGAACGCUGGCGGCAUGCCUUACACAUGCAAGUCGAACGGCAGCAUGAUCUAGCUUGCUAGAUUGAUGGCGAGUGGCGAACGGGUGAGUAAUACAUCUGAACGUGCUCUGUAGCGGGGGAUAACUAGUCGAAAGAUUAGCUAAUACCGCAUAUGACUUGAGGGUGAAAGUGGGGGACCGCAAGGCGUCAUGCCAUACGAGCGUCCGAUGUCUGAUUAGCUAGUUGGUGAGGUAAAGGCUCACCAAGGCGACGAUCAGUAGCUGGUCUGAGAGGACGAUCGGCCACACUGGGACUGAGACACGGCCCAGACUCCUACGGGAGGCAGCAGUGGGGAAUUUUGGACAAUGGGCGAAAGCCUGACGCAGCAAUGCCGCGUGUGUGAUGAAGGCCUUCGGGUUGUAAAGCACUUUUGUCCGGAAAGAAAUGGCGCUGGUUAAUACCUGGGGUCGAUGACGGUACCGGAAGAAUAAGGACCGGCUAACUACGUG
RNAcentral lists this ribosomal RNA (490 nucleotides) under uncultured bacterium. RNAcentral describes it as "partial 16S ribosomal RNA". It matches the Rfam family "Bacterial small subunit ribosomal RNA", at positions 30 to 507 of the family's 1533-position model. The record is from RNAcentral.